AGCUGCUCGAAGCGGGUGCCAAUCGGGGCGAUAAACAGCGAGUUUUUGUUCAGGUCGACGUCGCCGCUGGCGCGCACCUCCCCGCCGUCCAGCGGGAUAUCGAGAUGUAAGCGCCCACUGACGUUGCCGCCAAUCUGCAGCUCGUCCAGCGCUGCGCCCAGCGAGGGUUUGAGCGGUGACUGAUUAAAGUAGUCGCGGAUCUGCGGCCCGCUGCCGCUGAUAUCGCCAUCAAUCAGCAGCUUUUCGCGGGUGUAAUCCGGGAUCACCGCCGAGAUAUUACGCCCCAGUGCCGCGCCAAGGUGGGUCUCUGCCGCCUUCAUCCACAGCCCGUUGUUCGCGAAGUCGAGGUCAAUGGCCAGAUUUUCCAGCGGCGGCCAGCCCGGUUCGAACUCGUAGGUCGCUUUACGCAGCGGCACC
RNAcentral lists this non-coding RNA (417 nucleotides) under Erwinia sp. Leaf53. The record is from RNAcentral. Lineage: Bacteria; Pseudomonadati; Pseudomonadota; Gammaproteobacteria; Enterobacterales; Erwiniaceae.